Potamilus streckersoni is the source of this 78-nucleotide non-coding RNA. NCBI's taxonomy places the organism in Eukaryota, Metazoa, Mollusca, Bivalvia, Unionida, Unionidae. The record is from the annotation of a GenBank genome assembly.
GCUCCGGUGGCCUAGUGGUUAGUGCGUCCGCCUCGGAUGCGGGUGGUUGUGGGUUCGAUCCCCGGUCGAGUCCUACCA